RNAcentral lists this ribosomal RNA (440 nucleotides) under uncultured bacterium. RNAcentral's name for it is "partial 16S ribosomal RNA". It matches the Rfam family "Bacterial small subunit ribosomal RNA", at positions 338 to 795 of the family's 1533-position model. The record is from RNAcentral.
CCUACGGGGGGCAGCAGUGGGGAAUAUUGCACAAUGGGGGAAACCCUGAUGCAGCGACGCCGCGUGAGCGAUGAAGUAUUUCGGUAUGUAAAGCUCUAUUUGUAGGGAAGAAAAUGACGGUACCUGACUAAGAAGCUACGGCUAACGACGUGCCAGCAGCCGCGGUAAGACGGAGGGGGCAAGCGUUAUCCGGAUUUACUGGGUGUAAAGGGAGCGUAGUCGGCUUGGCAAGCCAGAUGUGAAAGGCUGGGGCUCAACCCCAGGACUGCAGUUGAAACUGUCAUGCUAGAGUGUCGUAGAGGCAGGCGGAAUUCCUAGUGUAGCGGUGAAAUGCGUAGAUAUUAGGAAGAACACCAGUGGCGAAGGCAGCCUGCUGGACGAUGACUGACGUUGAUGCUCGAAAGCGUGGGGAGCAAACAGGAUUAGAUACCCUUGUAGUC